CCUACGGGAGGCAGCAGUGAGGAAUAUUGGUCAAUGGGAGAGAUCCUGAACCAGCCAAGCCGCGUGAGGGAAGACGGCCCUAUGGGUUGUAAACCUCUUUUGUCGGAGAACAAAACCCGGGACGUGUCCCGGACUGCGUGUAUCCGAAGAAAAAGCAUCGGCUAACUCCGUGCCAGCAGCCGCGGUAAUACGGAGGAUGCGAGAGUUAUCCGGAUUUAUUGGGUUUAAAGGGUGCGUAGGCGGUCCGUUAAGUCAGCGGUAAAAUGGCGGGGCUCAACCCCGUCGAGCCGUUGAAACUGGCAGACUUGAGUUGGCGAGAAGUACGCGGAAUGCGCGGUGUAGCGGUGAAAUGCAUAGAUAUCGCGCAGAACUCCGAUUGCGAAGGCAGCGUACCGGCGCCAGACUGACGCUGAGGCACGAAAGCGUGGGGAUCGAACAGGAUUAGAUACCCCAGUAGUC
This 459-nucleotide ribosomal RNA is filed under the name uncultured bacterium. RNAcentral's name for it is "partial 16S ribosomal RNA". It matches the Rfam family "Bacterial small subunit ribosomal RNA", at positions 338 to 795 of the family's 1533-position model. The record is from RNAcentral.